GCUAGGCACUGAUAACGUGAUGAUUUUAAGGGCGGGAAUUCUGA
RNAcentral lists this small nucleolar RNA (44 nucleotides) under Saccharolobus islandicus HVE10/4. RNAcentral describes it as "Sulfolobus islandicus HVE10/4 non-coding RNA". The record is from RNAcentral. Lineage: Archaea; Thermoproteati; Thermoproteota; Thermoprotei; Sulfolobales; Sulfolobaceae. RNAcentral also lists the same sequence under 1 other name.